UACGUAGGGGGCAAGCGUUGUCCGGACUUACUGGGCGUAAAGCGUGUGCAGGCGGGCCGCUAUGUGCCGUGUGAAAGCUCUCAGCUUAUCUGGGAGAGGUCGCGGUAGACAUGCAGCCUGGAGGCUCGGAGAGGUCAGUGGAAUUCUCGGUGUAGAGGUGAAAUUCGUAGAUAUCGAGAGGAACACCGGUGGCGAAGGCGGCCUUCUGGACAGUGACUGACGCUGAGACGCGAAAGCGUGGGGAGCAAACAGG
Molecule: ribosomal RNA, 253 nt
Filed under: uncultured bacterium
Lineage: Bacteria
Description: partial 16S ribosomal RNA
Rfam family: Bacterial small subunit ribosomal RNA
Source: RNAcentral